RNAcentral lists this ribosomal RNA (492 nucleotides) under uncultured bacterium. RNAcentral's name for it is "partial 16S ribosomal RNA". It matches the Rfam family "Bacterial small subunit ribosomal RNA", at positions 29 to 507 of the family's 1533-position model. The record is from RNAcentral.
AGUGAACGCUGGCGGUAGGCCUAACACAUGCAAGUCGAACGGCAGCACAGUAAGAGCUUGCUCUUACGGGUGGCGAGUGGCGGACGGGUGAGGAAUACAUCGGAAUCUACUUUUUCGUGGGGGAUAACGUAGGGAAACUUACGCUAAUACCGCAUACGACCUACGGGUGAAAGCAGGGGAUCUUCGGACCUUGCGCGAUUGAAUGAGCCGAUGUCGGAUUAGCUAGUUGGCGGGGUAAAGGCCCACCAAGGCGACGAUCCGUAGCUGGUCUGAGAGGAUGAUCAGCCACACUGGAACGUAGACACGGUCCAGACUCCUACGGGAGGCAGCAGUGGGGAAUAUUGGACAAUGGGCGCAAGCCUGAUCCAGCCAUACCGCGUGAGUGAAGAAGGCCUUCGGGUUGUAAAGCCCUUUUGUUGGGAAAGAAAAGCAGCAGGUUAAUACCCCGCUGUUCUGACGGUACCCAAAGAAUAAGCACCGGCUAACUUCGUG